GCCACGGUGGUCUAGCGGUUAGAACGCUGGCCUUGUAAUCCUGGGGUCUCGGGUUUGAUUCCCGGCGGUGCCC
RNAcentral lists this transfer RNA (73 nucleotides) under Zootermopsis nevadensis. It matches the Rfam family "tRNA". Rfam says of the family: Transfer RNA (tRNA) molecules are approximately 80 nucleotides in length. Their secondary structure includes four short double-helical elements and three loops (D, anti-codon, and T loops). Further hydrogen bonds mediate the characteristic L-shaped molecular structure. tRNAs have two regions of fundamental functional importance: the anti-codon, which is responsible for specific mRNA codon recognition, and the 3' end, to which the tRNAs corresponding amino acid is attached (by aminoacyl-tRNA synthetases). tRNAs cope with the degeneracy of the genetic code in two manners: having more than one tRNA (with a specific anti-codon) for a particular amino acid; and 'wobble' base-pairing, i.e. permitting non-standard base-pairing at the 3rd anti-codon position. The record is from Rfam by way of RNAcentral. Lineage: Eukaryota; Metazoa; Arthropoda; Insecta; Blattodea; Termopsidae.